GGGUUGUGAGGUUAAGCGACUAAGCGUACACGGUGGAUGCCCUGGCAGUCAGAGGCGAUGAAGGGCGUGCUAAUCUGCGAUAAGCGCCGGUAAGGUGAUAUGAACCGUUAUAACCGGCGAUACCCGAAUGGGGAAACCCAGUGUGACUCGUCACACUAUCAUUAACUGAAUCCAUAGGUUAAUGAGGCGAACCGGGGGAACUGAAACAUCUAAGUACCCCGAGGAAAAGAAAUCAACCGAGAUUCCCCCAGUAGCGGCGAGCGAACGGGGAGGAGCCCAGAGCCUGAAUCAGCAUGUGUGUUAGUGGAAGCGUCUGGAAAGGCGCGCGAUACAGGGUGACAGCCCCGUACACAAAAGCGCAUGUGCUGUGAGCUCGAUGAGUAGGGCGGGACACGUGGUAUCCUGUCUGAAUAUGGGGGGACCAUCCUCCAAGGCUAAAUACUCCUGACUGACCGAUAGUGAACCAGUACCGUGAGGGAAAGGCGAAAAGAACCCCGGCGAGGGGAGUGAAAAAGAACCUGAAACCGUGUACGUACAAGCAGUGGGAGCACAGGUUUACCUGUGUGACUGCGUACCUUUUGUAUAAUGGGUCAGCGACUUAUAUUCUGUAGCAAGGUUAACCGAAUAGGGGAGCCGGAGGGAAACCGAGUCUUAAUUGGGCGUUAAGUUGCAGGGUAUAGACCCGAAACCCGGUGAUCUAGCCAUGGGCAGGUUGAAGGUUGGGUAACACUAACUGGAGGACCGAACCGACUAAUGUUGAAAAAUUAGCGGAUGACCUGUGGCUGGGGGUGAAAGGCCAAUCAAACCGGGAGAUAGCUGGUUCUCCCCGAAAGCUAUUUAGGUAGCGCCUCGUGAAUUCAUCUCCGGGGGUAGAGCACUGUUUCGGCUAGGGGGCCAUCCCGGCUUACCAACCCGAUGCAAACUGCGAAUACCGGAGAAUGUUAUCACGGGAGACACACGGCGGGUGCUAACGUCCGUCGUGAAGAGGGAAACAACCCAGACCGCCAGCUAAGGUCCCAAAGUCAUGGUUAAGUGGGAAACGAUGUGGGAAGGCCCAGACAGCCAGGAUGUUGGCUUAGAAGCAGCCAUCAUUUAAAGAAAGCGUAAUAGCUCACUGGUCGAGUCGGCCUGCGCGGAAGAUGUAACGGGGCUAAACCAUGCACCGAAGCUGCGGCCGCAA
This 1180-nucleotide ribosomal RNA is filed under the name Salmonella enterica subsp. enterica serovar Infantis. RNAcentral describes it as "partial 23S ribosomal RNA". It matches the Rfam family "Bacterial large subunit ribosomal RNA", at positions 1 to 1211 of the family's 2925-position model. The record is from RNAcentral. Lineage: Bacteria; Pseudomonadati; Pseudomonadota; Gammaproteobacteria; Enterobacterales; Enterobacteriaceae.